UUUACAAAAAAAAGUACCUAUUUCACAAAAAAAUUUUUGAAUUGUAGUGAAAACUAAACUUUUGGUGCAAAUUAUUUGGUCGGCAACACCGUUUCCACUUUGACGCUUUGCUUUGUUAUUAUUCGUUGAAAAUCUUUUAUCUGUUUGUAAACAUUCAAGUCGAUUAUGUCUUACAUAUGGUGAUAGUCGAUUAUUUGGAGUCGGCUUUCUGCUGCAGAAAACCCCCGGUUUGUGAAUUUUCAUACACGUUUUUAUAGCAGCGUUUUUGCAAAUAUAAUAGAGACCACCUUACAUACAAUACAUAAACUACAGUUAGACUUCACAGACGAGCAAUUGCUGCGGAAGGUGUGUGUUGAAGAGCUAGGUGGCCCAACUAUUGUGGUUUUUAGAAACGAAAGCACGUAUUUCUACCAUUGUCUCAUGUGGUGCUACGGACAAUUUCAUAGGAGACAUGGAGCAUGUUGUGUAUGAUGGUGCAAAUACCUGUUUAACAUAUGACGGUCAUUAUGUGCCUAGUACUGCUACCUCUGAAAUCAAUUUGACUUCCGAACUGGCUGUCCACGUCGAUACCUUACCCCAUCUAGAUCAAUAUGCUGUACGUAGAUGUAUGCGCAACACCUACACGAGCAAGUCCUCGCGCUUUAAGUCUACAAUUACAGAUAAGUUUUUGAUUUCUGCCUGAAGUAAGUGCAGUGUUCCAACACCUAUACGAGCAAGUGCACCCACAUUCCUCAUAUUUCCUCUCCGAUUCAUUACUGAGACACGUGGUAUUGAUAUACGUAAAUUUACAAACCAUCACAAUUACUAAAAGUGGAUUAUAUUACCAAUAUCUAAAAUUUUUCGAUGUAUUAGUUUUAGUCUAUAUUAAUACAUUUUCCUAUUAAUAUUAGGGACGCAAAGUAUAUUAAAGUACACAAAUUUUAAACUAUAAACUAGUAAAUUUGUAAUUUUUAUUGCAAACUAUUUUAACUUCUAAUUUCAAUUUUUUUCUUAUAUUUAGAA
Long non-coding RNA from Anastrepha ludens (Mexican fruit fly), 1002 nucleotides. RefSeq lists it as uncharacterized. The record is from RefSeq and is a predicted model, not a curated record. Lineage: Eukaryota; Metazoa; Arthropoda; Insecta; Diptera; Tephritidae. The transcript has 5 exons.